GCGGACGGGUGAGUAACACGUAGGCAACCUGCCCGUAAGACUGGGAUAACUACCGGAAACAGUAGCUAAUACCGGAUACGCAAGUCUCUCGCAUGAGGGGCUUGGGAAAGGCGGAGCAAUCUGUCACUUACGGAUGGGCCUGCGGCGCAUUAGCUAGUUGGUGGGGUAACGGCUCACCAAGGCGACGAUGCGUAGCCGACCUGAGAGGGUGAACGGCCACACUGGGACUGAGACACGGCCCAGACUCCUACGGGAGGCAGCAGUAGGGAAUCUUCCGCAAUGGACGAAAGUCUGACGGAGCAACGCCGCGUGAGUGAUGAAGGUUUUCGGAUCGUAAAGCUCUGUUGCCAGGGAAGAACGUCCGUUAGAGUAACUGCUAACGGAGUGACGGUACCUGAGAAGAAAGCCCCGGCUAACUACGUGCCAGCAGCCGCGGUAAUACGUAGGGGGCGAGCGUUGUCCGGAAUUAUUGGGCGUAAAGCGCGCGCAGGCGGCUGUUUAAGUCUGGUGUUUAAUCCUGGGGCUCAACCCCGGGUCGCACUGGAAACUGG
RNAcentral lists this ribosomal RNA (551 nucleotides) under Paenibacillus sp. hata97. Its description in RNAcentral is "bacterial SSU rRNA". It matches the Rfam family "Bacterial small subunit ribosomal RNA", at positions 98 to 636 of the family's 1533-position model. The record is from RNAcentral. Lineage: Bacteria; Bacillati; Bacillota; Bacilli; Caryophanales; Paenibacillaceae.